AGUGAACGCUGGCGGUAGGCCUAACACAUGCAAGUCGAACGGCAGCACAGUAAGAGCUUGCUCUUACGGGUGGCGAGUGGCGGACGGGUGAGGAAUACAUCGGAAUCUACUUUUUCGUGGGGGAUAACGUAGGGAAACUUACGCUAAUACCGCAUACGACCUACGGGUGAAAGCAGGGGAUCUUCGGACCUUGCGCGAUUGAAUGAGCCGAUGUCGGAUUAGCUAGUUGGCGGGGUAAAGGCCCACCAAGGCGACGAUCCGUAGCUGGUCUGAGAGGAUGAUCAGCCACACUGGAACUGAGACACGGUCCAGACUCCUACGGGAGGCAGCAGUGGGGAAUAUUGGACAAUGGGCGCAAGCCUGAUCCAGCCAUACCGCGUGGGUGAAGAAGGCCUUCGGGUUGUAAAGCCCUUUUGUUGGGAAAGAAAAGCAGCAGGUUAAUACCCCGCUGUUCUGACAGUACCCAAAGAAUAAGCACCGGCUAACUUCGUG
This 492-nucleotide ribosomal RNA is filed under the name uncultured bacterium. RNAcentral's name for it is "partial 16S ribosomal RNA". It matches the Rfam family "Bacterial small subunit ribosomal RNA", at positions 29 to 507 of the family's 1533-position model. The record is from RNAcentral.